Long non-coding RNA from Numida meleagris (helmeted guineafowl), 429 nucleotides. RefSeq lists it as uncharacterized. The record is from RefSeq and is a predicted model, not a curated record. The transcript is spliced from 3 exons. Lineage: Eukaryota; Metazoa; Chordata; Aves; Galliformes; Numididae.
CCAGGAGUUCUAAGCAGAGUUCUGUGAGAACACAGCUGCUGAUUGGGGCCUUCAGGGCCGAGGUGUUGCAGCCUUUGACCACUGGAACUGUUGUGGGGUGUGUGAUGCGGGGGCUGGAAGAAGAAGGAGAUGAGAAUUACAGGAGUGGCUGCCUUCAUUGGAUUUUGGCGUAUGCUUCUUCUGCAAUGAAUGCAAGUGUUGGAAAGAAAAAAAAAAAAAGGUAGCCAAUCUGCAAGGAGUUACAGAUUUGCAACAAGAAAAUACAAAAAAAAACACAUGAUGCAAAAAGGAGCUUUCAGCGUGAGACCCAAAAACUUAAAAACAAUUAUUCUGAAUUACUGAAACUUCAAUCAAGCCCAAAUUUAAUUCUAGACCUUAUAAUGGACCAGAAGAAACCCAGAUCAGAGCACAGCCAAGAAUUUAAGAAAG